This 1085-nucleotide long non-coding RNA is filed under the name Ixodes scapularis (black-legged tick). RNAcentral describes it as "uncharacterized LOC120844657, transcript variant X1". Lineage: Eukaryota; Metazoa; Arthropoda; Arachnida; Ixodida; Ixodidae. The record is from RNAcentral.
GUGAUAAACCGAACGGUCCGGCCGGAGGACAAGCCUCAAGGAUGGCAAGGAAGCGUGGAAGAAGAACCGAAGCUGCGGAAGCAACGUUCGCGGGAAGUCUAACGGUCUAACCGCUUGAAGCACGUUGCAGAGUCGAGACCAGUUGAGCGGCCGGAAUUUUACGAACGAUUAUGCAAGCGUACGUCUUGAGGACGACCAUGAGCCACAUAUCAUCUCAAAUUUCUGCCCGUCAAGCCUUGUGACGAAACGGAAUCGGACUUCUUCAAGGCGCGGAUCCUAAAGUUGUUUGGAUCGCAGAGUGACGCGGAAACCCAGUGACAGUAAGCGGGUGCUAGUACCUCCGACGAGAUGAGUGACUGCCCGGGAGGGCUGGAGGAAGCUUGUAUGAGACAGCUGGCCCGAGCCCGAACCAGGCCAAUCAACGUGCUGGCCCGAACCAGGCCAAUCAACGUGCUGGCCCGAGCCCGGCCCGGGCCCACAGUCAAAAGUCCGAGCCCAUCCCAGGCCUGGGCUUUCGGCUCAGCAAAGUCUGCGGAUCUGGUUAUGCUUCCUGUACGAGACAGAUCACGAAGCGGUUGCUGACUGACCAGUUGGGGCGAAAAGUUUUGUGGGAAGGACGCAAGAGAAAGUUGACAUUCAGGAACCUUCACCUUGCUGAGUGCAUCAUAAAUGCAGUGCAGAGCUGCCAUAAAUGUGAAGACUUCAAGGUAGAAACCAUGGUCACGGAUUAACUUCGCCACGCACCUGCCUGACAUCAGUCAUCUCAAAUGGAACAUUCUGCACCACAGGAGAGAGAGAUGUGAACUGCCUUAAGUGGGCCUUGAAUGUGCUGAGCUUUUUAUUAUGUUUAUCAGACAUUUUUUUUAAGCAAAGUAUCCUGCAUUGUUCAGUAAGUAUACUUUAUUUUGAAAACCUCAUGCUGUCUAUGCAGCAUUGUUCAAAAAUUAUACUUUAUUUUAAAAGCACCAAGCACUGCUCGUCUGUCUAACAGUAACAAUAAAGAGUUAAUGGCGAUUUGUUUGGCACUGCAACUUUUUCUACAGCACGGAUGUGCAUGCCUGACAGGCUGGGCAGGAAUUUAGUGC